This 397-nucleotide ribosomal RNA is filed under the name uncultured bacterium. Its description in RNAcentral is "partial 16S ribosomal RNA". It matches the Rfam family "Bacterial small subunit ribosomal RNA", at positions 523 to 918 of the family's 1533-position model. The record is from RNAcentral.
AUACGUAGGUGACAAGCGUUAUCCGGAUUUACUGGGCGUAAAGGGCGUGUAGGCGGUCUUGCAAGUCAGAAGUGAAAUUCCUGAGAUCAACUCGGGAGCUGCUUCUGAAACUGCAGGACUUGAGUGCUGGAGGGGAUAGCGGAAUUCCUAGUGGAGCGGUAAAAUGCGAAGAUAUUAGGAAGAACACCGGUGGCGAAGGCGGGUAUCUGGGCAAGAACUGACGCUGAGGCGCGAAAGCGUGGGGAGCAAACAGGAUUAGAUACCCUGGUAGUCCACGCCCUAAACGAUGAAUACUAGGUGUAGGGGGUAUCGACUCCCUCUGUGCCGCAGUUAACACAAUAAGUAUUCCGCCUGGGGAGUACGGCCGCAAGGUUGAAACUCAAAUGAAUUGGCGGGG